RNAcentral lists this ribosomal RNA (591 nucleotides) under uncultured Pseudomonadota bacterium. RNAcentral's name for it is "bacterial SSU rRNA". It matches the Rfam family "Bacterial small subunit ribosomal RNA", at positions 74 to 662 of the family's 1533-position model. Lineage: Bacteria; Pseudomonadati; Pseudomonadota. The record is from RNAcentral.
GCUUGCUUCUUUGCUGACGAGUGGCGGACGGGUGAGUAAUGUCUGGGAAACUGCCUGAUGGAGGGGGAUAACUACUGGAAACGGUAGCUAAUACCGCAUAACGUCGCAAGACCAAAGAGGGGGACCUUCGGGCCUCUUGCCAUCGGAUGUGCCCAGAUGGGAUUAGCUAGUAGGUGGGGUAACGGCUCACCUAGGCGACGAUCCCUAGCUGGUCUGAGAGGAUGACCAGCCACACUGGAACUGAGACACGGUCCAGACUCCUACGGGAGGCAGCAGUGGGGAAUAUUGCACAAUGGGCGCAAGCCUGAUGCAGCCAUGCCGCGUGUAUGAAGAAGGCCUUCGGGUUGUAAAGUACUUUCAGCGGGGAGGAAGGGAGUAAAGUUAAUACCUUUGCUCAUUGACGUUACCCGCAGAAGAAGCACCGGCUAACUCCGUGCCAGCAGCCGCGGUAAUACGGAGGGUGCAAGCGUUAAUCGGAAUUACUGGGCGUAAAGCGCACGCAGGCGGUUUGUUAAGUCAGAUGUGAAAUCCCCGGGCUCAACCCGGGAACUGCAUCUGAUACUGGCAAGCUUGAGUCUCGUAGAGGGGGGU